Molecule: non-coding RNA, 765 nt
Organism: Dermochelys coriacea (leatherback sea turtle)
Lineage: Eukaryota; Metazoa; Chordata; Testudines; Dermochelyidae
Source: the annotation of a RefSeq genome assembly
UUAGGGUGUCAUUGUCAUGCCACAUAGGCCUAUUGACUUGCAGAUGAUCUGUGUCUCAGCUGGGAAUCAAGAUCACCGCUCCCAGGCAGGGAGGAACGUGCACAGGCCCCUGUGGUUCAGCUGUUUUGUCUGUGUGUGUCAGAGCCUGGAGCCACACCACAAACAGAUCCCUUCUGUUGUCUCCAGGUGUAGGAGGGGAACCAGCCCUACAGAGCACAGUUGUAUAAAGAGCAAUACUGGGGGAACAUCCCUGCUAGUGAGGCAGAGAUGGUGAUGCAAAUAGUCUGGUACGUGUCCAUCUGUUUCAUGGCAGCAAGAUGCUCAGGUGCUCAGAUCAACCAAACCCAGAGUCUGGACCUGGAAAAGGGACACCAAGCCCAGCUCAUAUGUAAACAAACCUAUGGGCAUAACAACAUGUUCUGGUACAGGCAGGUCUCAGGACAGGGCUUGCAGCUGCUCUUCCUCUUUGUUCAUGAAGAACUAACAGACAAAGGCAAUGUCACUGAUCAAUUCCAAGCUAAAAAGCUGCAGACUGAGCUCCUUCACUUGGACAUUUCACCCGUGAAGCCAGAGGACUCGGCUGUGUAUUUCUGUGCCAGCAGUCUAGACACAGUGCUUCAGAGUCACCUCCUUCCCCUGCAAAAGCCUCCUCUCCUUGGAGGGGCUUCCCCCUGCAUCUCUACCCACAACCAGUGCAAUAAGAGGGAGGAGAAGAGGAGGAAGUCACAAUCUAUGUCAACACUAUAUGGGUACCUACAGGAAUGA